GCCAGUAUGGCGGAUAUGACCUUCGGCUUGUAACCGAAGGGGUUCGGGUUCAAAUCCCGAGUUAGGCA
This is a non-coding RNA of Trichonephila inaurata madagascariensis, 68 nucleotides long. The record is from the annotation of a GenBank genome assembly. Lineage: Eukaryota; Metazoa; Arthropoda; Arachnida; Araneae; Nephilidae.